GAACGGGGUCUUUAACUAAAUGGGGAAAAAUAAGGGUUUUCUUUAAUUAGGGGGAAGGGGGUAACCGGGGUAACCCCCCUUAAGAUGGGAAAUUUGGGAACCGGAGUUAAACCGGAAACAUUGGACCGCAGGUUUAAAGGAAAGAGGUUUGUUUCAUUAAAGAGGACCCGGCCGUUUAGCUAGUGGUAAGGUAACGGUUACCAAGGCAACGAUAGUAGCCGACCUGAGAGGUGAUCGGCCACACGGAAUUGAGACACGGUCCAGAUUCCUACGGGAGGCAGCAGUAGGGAUUUUCCGCAAUGGCGAAAGCCUGACGGAGCAACGCCGCCUGAGUGAUGAAGGGUUUCGGCUCGUAAAACUCUGUUAUUAGGGAAGAACAAAUGUGUAAGUAACUGUGCACGUCUUGACGGUACCUAAUCAGAAAGCCACGGCUAAAUACGUGCCAGCAGCCGCGGUAAUACGUAGGUGGCAAGCGUUAUCCGGAAUUAUUGGGCGUAAAGCGCGCGUAGGCGGUUUCUUAAGUCUGAUGUGAAAGCCCACGGCUCAACCGUGGAGGGUCAUUGGAAACUGGGAAACUUGAGUGCAGAAGAGGAAAGUGGAAUUCCAUGUGUAGCGGUGAAAUGCGCAGAGAUAUGGAGGAACACCAGUGGCGAAGGCGACUUUCUGGUCUGUAACUGACGCUGAUGUGCGAAAGCGUGGGGAUCAAACAGGAUUAGAUACCCUGGUAGUCCACGCCGUAAACGAUGAGUGCUAAGUGUUAGGGGGUUUCCGCCCCUUAGUGCUGCAGCUAACGCAUUAAGCACUCCGCCUGGGGAGUACGACCGCAAGGUUGAAACUCAAAGGAAUUGACGGGGACCCGCACAAGCGGUGGAGCAUGUGGUUUAAUUCGAAGCAACGCGAAGAACCUUACCAAAUCUUGACAUCCUUUGAAAACUCUAGAGAUAGAGCCUUCCCCUUCGGGGGACAAAGUGACAGGUGGUGCAUGGUUGUCGUCAGCUCGUGUCGUGAGAUGUUGGGUUAAGUCCCGCAACGAGCGCAACCCUUAAGCUUAGUUGCCAUCAUUAAGUUGGGCACUCUAGGUUGACUGCCGGUGACAAACCGGAGGAAGGUGGGGAUGACGUCAAAUCAUCAUGCCCCUUAUGAUUUGGGCUACACACGUGCUACAAUGGACAAUACAAAGGGCAGCUAAACCGCGAGGUCAUGCAAAUCCCAUAAAGUUGUUCUCAGUUCGGAUUGUAGUCUGCAACUCGACUACAUGAAGCUGGAAUCGCUAGUAAUCGUAGAUCAGCAUGCUACGGUGAAUACGUUCCCGGGUCUUGUACACACCGCCCGUCACACCACGAGAGUUUGUAACACCCGAAGCCGGUGGAGUAACCAUUUAUGGAGCUAGCCGUCGAAGGGACAA
RNAcentral lists this ribosomal RNA (1405 nucleotides) under Staphylococcus aureus. Its description in RNAcentral is "bacterial SSU rRNA". It matches the Rfam family "Bacterial small subunit ribosomal RNA". Lineage: Bacteria; Bacillati; Bacillota; Bacilli; Caryophanales; Staphylococcaceae. The record is from RNAcentral.